GGUAGCUAAAUGCGGAAGAGAUAAGUGCUGAAAGCAUCUAAGCACGAAACUUGCCCCGAGAUGAGUUCUCCCUGAGACUUAGAGUCUCCUGAAGGAACGUUGAAGACGACGACGUUGAUAGGCCGGGUGUGUAAGCGCAGCGAUGCGUUGAGCUAACCGGUACUAAUGAACCGUGAGGCUUAACCUUACAACGCCGAAG
This 199-nucleotide ribosomal RNA is filed under the name Salmonella enterica subsp. enterica serovar Infantis. RNAcentral describes it as "partial 23S ribosomal RNA". It matches the Rfam family "Bacterial large subunit ribosomal RNA", at positions 2744 to 2925 of the family's 2925-position model. Lineage: Bacteria; Pseudomonadati; Pseudomonadota; Gammaproteobacteria; Enterobacterales; Enterobacteriaceae. RNAcentral also lists the same sequence under 4 other names. The record is from RNAcentral.